This 395-nucleotide long non-coding RNA is filed under the name Homo sapiens (human). RNAcentral's name for it is "HSALNT0193310". The record is from RNAcentral. Lineage: Eukaryota; Metazoa; Chordata; Mammalia; Primates; Hominidae.
AACUCUUCUCUGGCUUUCCUAGACUUUUUUCCUGGGUUCUUUUCUGCUGAACCUCAGGGUGGAGAGAGUUCAGGAGAUAGAAAAUCAUAGCCUUCUGAGAAGGGAAUACGUGACAAGUACACUGUGAGAGCCCUUCAUGGGCUUGUCUGCACAAGCAACGAAAGAAAACUUCAGCCCCAGACACGAUCGAUCUGCAAGUCAUUCCAGGAAAUGGGUGGGAGUCCUGGAUGUUUUAAAAGAAUGUCCAUGGGACUAGGAUUGGGGAUGAGGAAGGAGACACGGGGUCAAGUCUUGCUCUUACCUCAUAGUGGCCAAUGGUGUUUAGCUUGGUGAUUCCAUCUUCAAGAAUCACGGAGGAACUGUCGAUGUCCAGAAGUUCUUUCUGUCGUGUGCCC